ACCUUCCUUGUCUUGGGGUUGCGUGGCUGUUCAAUGAACGUCUAGUGAGAGCAGCCCUGCUAACACCAUACCAACACAUUCGCAUCACCCAAGCACUAGCUUGGGCUAUGGUGCAAUUUUUGGAACC
Molecule: small nuclear RNA, 127 nt
Organism: Acipenser ruthenus (sterlet)
Lineage: Eukaryota; Metazoa; Chordata; Actinopteri; Acipenseriformes; Acipenseridae
Product: U4atac minor spliceosomal RNA
Exons: 1
Source: RefSeq, a predicted model, not a curated record